This is a long non-coding RNA of Drosophila montana, 919 nucleotides long. RefSeq lists it as uncharacterized. Lineage: Eukaryota; Metazoa; Arthropoda; Insecta; Diptera; Drosophilidae. The transcript has 3 exons. The record is from RefSeq and is a predicted model, not a curated record.
AUCUGUCAUAACUUUUAUUCGAAUCUGUCUUUUUUUCAUUUGCUUUUGCUAAUUAAACAAUUUAAUUAGUGAAAUUAACGUACGCCAUCAAAAUUCAAAAAGUUUCGCAUGCGUACUGCUUGAGUUAUUUUCUUUAGAUUUUAUACAUCGAUUCAUAUAUAUCAUAUUUGACCUUGCUGUCGGCCACGCCCACUUCUGUAUGCUAUAUGUUUUUUAUUUGAUGAGUAUAUUCAACAGUUUUACAUUUAUUUAUCUAAGUGCGGCGAGGAAACACCCGACAAAAAGUAAGAGACUAAUUUUAAGCGAGAGUCGCUCGACAGUAUUUCGUCAGGUGUUUCCACAUCAUCGAAAAUCAGAUUAAUUUUUGGCACAAACUUUGACUAACGCUCUCUCUUUUGCUCUGCCGCUGCUCAGAUCUGCCCAGAUCAGCGUAUCAGUUGAUGCCCAACAGUCUUUUGAACGCGCGUCUAUAGUCCAAAUUGAAUAUCGUAUAGAUGACCGGAUUCAGGCCGGAGUUAAUGUAACCCAGCCAGGUGAUAAAGUUCUUGAACUUGUUUGUGGGACAGCAGCUCUGGCAGAAUGGCAAAAUCACGUACAUCAGAAAGAAGGGCAGCCAGCAGAUGACAAAGACGCCCAUGAUGAUGCCCAGGGUGCGGGCCGCCCGUCGCUCCUUCGACAGCGAGAUCUUCUGCUUCUCCUCGAUGAACUGAUUAACGGUGCUCGGCUUCUUCUGCAGCGCCGGGACAGCAGCUGCGCCCGUCGACGACGACUGUGGUGGUGUCAGCUUUAGCGAGGUUUGCUCCUCGGCCUGGGUCACGCAAACCUAAUUAAUUUUAUUCAAAUAUUUAUGGUGGGGUUAGAGUUCAUUCUUGACAUAAGUCAUGCCAACUAAUAUAAUAUUAUAGAUAUAUAUAUGUGA